AUUUAAAUAGCUUAUAUAGAGUGUAGUAUUGAAGAUACUAAGGAAAUAAAAAUUAUUUUUAAAUA
Molecule: transfer RNA, 65 nt
Filed under: Scaphidium quadrimaculatum
Lineage: Eukaryota; Metazoa; Arthropoda; Insecta; Coleoptera; Staphylinidae
Description: tRNA-Phe
Source: RNAcentral